RNAcentral lists this ribosomal RNA (307 nucleotides) under uncultured Pseudoalteromonas sp. RNAcentral describes it as "bacterial SSU rRNA". It matches the Rfam family "Bacterial small subunit ribosomal RNA", at positions 30 to 334 of the family's 1533-position model. Lineage: Bacteria; Pseudomonadati; Pseudomonadota; Gammaproteobacteria; Alteromonadales; Pseudoalteromonadaceae. The record is from RNAcentral.
AUUGAACGCUGGCGGCAGGCCUAACACAUGCAAGUCGAACGAGAACGGGUUAUAGUUUACUAUAACUGUCAGCUAAGUGGCGCACGGGUGAGUAAUAUAUAGGUAACGUGCCCUAGAGAGGGGGAUAACAUUUGGAAACGAAUGCUAAUACCCCAUAAUGUCUACGGACCAAAGGGGGCUUCGGCUCUCGCCUUUAGAUUGGCCCAAGUGGGAUUAGCUAGUUGGUGAGGCAAUGGCUCACCAAGGCGACGAUCCCUAGCUGGUUUGAGAGGAUGAUCAGCCACACUGGGACUGAGACACGGCCCAG